GACGAACGCUGGCGGCGUGCUUAACACAUGCAAGUCGAACGGAAAGGCCCCUUUGGGGGUACUCGAGUGGCGAACGGGUGCGUAACACGUGAGUAACCUGCCCUUGACUUCGGGAUAACUUCAGGAAACUGGGGCUAAUACCGGAUAGGAAUCCUUGCUGCAUGGUGGGGGUUGGAAAGCUUCGGCGGUUUUGGAUGGACUCGCGGCUUAUCAGCUUGUUGGUGGGGUAGUGGCUUACCAAGGCUUUGACGGGUAGCCGGCCUGAGAGGGCGACCGGCCACAUUGGGACUGAGAGACGGCCCAGACUCCGACGGGAGGCAGCAGUGGGGAAUAUUGCACAAGGGGCGGAAGCCUGAUGCAGCAACGCCGCGUGCGGGAUGACGGCCUUCGGGUUGUAAACCGCUUUCAGCAGGGGCGAAGCUUGUGGUGACGGUACCUGCAGAAGAAGCACCGGCUAACUACGUG
Molecule: ribosomal RNA, 465 nt
Filed under: uncultured bacterium
Lineage: Bacteria
Description: partial 16S ribosomal RNA
Rfam family: Bacterial small subunit ribosomal RNA
Source: RNAcentral